Molecule: ribosomal RNA, 2772 nt
Filed under: Salmonella enterica subsp. enterica serovar Enteritidis
Lineage: Bacteria; Pseudomonadati; Pseudomonadota; Gammaproteobacteria; Enterobacterales; Enterobacteriaceae
Description: partial 23S ribosomal RNA
Rfam family: Bacterial large subunit ribosomal RNA
Source: RNAcentral
ACUAUCAUUAACUGAAUCCAUAGGUUAAUGAGGCGAACCGGGGGAACUGAAACAUCUAAGUACCCCGAGGAAAAGAAAUCAACCGAGAUUCCCCCAGUAGCGGCGAGCGAACGGGGAGGAGCCCAGAGCCUGAAUCAGCAUGUGUGUUAGUGGAAGCGUCUGGAAAGGCGCGCGAUACAGGGUGACAGCCCCGUACACAAAAGCGCAUGUGCUGUGAGCUCGAUGAGUAGGGCGGGACACGUGGUAUCCUGUCUGAAUAUGGGGGGACCAUCCUCCAAGGCUAAAUACUCCUGACUGACCGAUAGUGAACCAGUACCGUGAGGGAAAGGCGAAAAGAACCCCGGCGAGGGGAGUGAAAAAGAACCUGAAACCGUGUACGUACAAGCAGUGGGAGCCCCACCACCAAAGCAUUUGCUGUACCGCGUUGACGGAGCGAAGCGACGUCAAACCGAUAAAACAGCAGUGUAAAGUGAGCCGCAGGGCGCUUUGCGCGACAGCGCAAAGGCAGGCGGUUUCGCGUAGCGAAAGCGAAUGCUUUGGGGUGGGGUGACUGCGUACCUUUUGUAUAAUGGGUCAGCGACUUAUAUUCUGUAGCAAGGUUAACCGAAUAGGGGAGCCGGAGGGAAACCGAGUCUUAAUUGGGCGUUAAGUUGCAGGGUAUAGACCCGAAACCCGGUGAUCUAGCCAUGGGCAGGUUGAAGGUUGGGUAACACUAACUGGAGGACCGAACCGACUAAUGUUGAAAAAUUAGCGGAUGACCUGUGGCUGGGGGUGAAAGGCCAAUCAAACCGGGAGAUAGCUGGUUCUCCCCGAAAGCUAUUUAGGUAGCGCCUCGUGAAUUCAUCUCCGGGGGUAGAGCACUGUUUCGGCUAGGGGGCCAUCCCGGCUUACCAACCCGAUGCAAACUGCGAAUACCGGAGAAUGUUAUCACGGGAGACACACGGCGGGUGCUAACGUCCGUCGUGAAGAGGGAAACAACCCAGACCGCCAGCUAAGGUCCCAAAGUCAUGGUUAAGUGGGAAACGAUGUGGGAAGGCCCAGACAGCCAGGAUGUUGGCUUAGAAGCAGCCAUCAUUUAAAGAAAGCGUAAUAGCUCACUGGUCGAGUCGGCCUGCGCGGAAGAUGUAACGGGGCUAAACCAUGCACCGAAGCUGCGGCAGCGACACUGUGUGUUGUUGGGUAGGGGAGCGUUCUGUAAGCCUGUGAAGGUGUGUCGUGAGGCAUGCUGGAGGUAUCAGAAGUGCGAAUGCUGACAUAAGUAACGAUAAAGCGGGUGAAAAGCCCGCUCGCCGGAAGACCAAGGGUUCCUGUCCAACGUUAAUCGGGGCAGGGUGAGUCGACCCCUAAGGCGAGGCCGAAAGGCGUAGUCGAUGGGAAACGGGUUAAUAUUCCCGUACUUGGUGUUACUGCGAAGGGGGGACGGAGAAGGCUAUGUUGGCCGGGCGACGGUUGUCCCGGUUUAAGCGUGUAGGUGUGUGUUCCAGGUAAAUCCGGUUCACUUUAACACUGAGGCGUGACGACGAGGCACUACGGUGCUGAAGCAACAAAUGCCCUGCUUCCAGGAAAAGCCUCUAAGCAUCAGGUAACAUCAAAUCGUACCCCAAACCGACACAGGUGGUCAGGUAGAGAAUACCAAGGCGCUUGAGAGAACUCGGGUGAAGGAACUAGGCAAAAUGGUGCCGUAACUUCGGGAGAAGGCACGCUGACACGUAGGUGAAGUGAUUUACUCAUGGAGCUGAAGUCAGUCGAAGAUACCAGCUGGCUGCAACUGUUUAUUAAAAACACAGCACUGUGCAAACACGAAAGUGGACGUAUACGGUGUGACGCCUGCCCGGUGCCGGAAGGUUAAUUGAUGGGGUCAGCGCAAGCGAAGCUCCUGAUCGAAGCCCCGGUAAACGGCGGCCGUAACUAUAACGGUCCUAAGGUAGCGAAAUUCCUUGUCGGGUAAGUUCCGACCUGCACGAAUGGCGUAAUGAUGGCCAGGCUGUCUCCACCCGAGACUCAGUGAAAUUGAACUCGCUGUGAAGAUGCAGUGUACCCGCGGCAAGACGGAAAGACCCCGUGAACCUUUACUAUAGCUUGACACUGAACAUUGAGCCUUGAUGUGUAGGAUAGGUGGGAGGCUUUGAAGUGUGGACGCCAGUCUGCAUGGAGCCGACCUUGAAAUACCACCCUUUAAUGUUUGAUGUUCUAACGUGGACCCGUUACCCGGGUUGCGGACAGUGUCUGGUGGGUAGUUUGACUGGGGCGGUCUCCUCCUAAAGAGUAACGGAGGAGCACGAAGGUUGGCUAAUCCUGGUCGGACAUCAGGAGGUUAGUGCAAUGGCAUAAGCCAGCUUGACUGCGAGCGUGACGGCGCGAGCAGGUGCGAAAGCAGGUCAUAGUGAUCCGGUGGUUCUGAAUGGAAGGGCCAUCGCUCAACGGAUAAAAGGUACUCCGGGGAUAACAGGCUGAUACCGCCCAAGAGUUCAUAUCGACGGCGGUGUUUGGCACCUCGAUGUCGGCUCAUCACAUCCUGGGGCUGAAGUAGGUCCCAAGGGUAUGGCUGUUCGCCAUUUAAAGUGGUACGCGAGCUGGGUUUAGAACGUCGUGAGACAGUUCGGUCCCUAUCUGCCGUGGGCGCUGGAGAACUGAGGGGGGCUGCUCCUAGUACGAGAGGACCGGAGUGGACGCAUCACUGGUGUUCGGGUUGUCAUGCCAAUGGCACUGCCCGGUAGCUAAAUGCGGAAGAGAUAAGUGCUGAAAGCAUCUAAGCACGAAACUUGCCCCGAG